This 70-nucleotide transfer RNA is filed under the name Myrmekiaphila tigris. RNAcentral describes it as "tRNA-Val". Lineage: Eukaryota; Metazoa; Arthropoda; Arachnida; Araneae; Euctenizidae. The record is from RNAcentral.
UUUAAGCCACUAUUUAUUUCCUUUAAUUUUCGUGUUCUCUUGGUAUAACCGUAAGGGACCUUUAAAUUGA